CCCAAGAGGAAUCUUAAAGCUGCAGAACAUCCUUUCCUCGCCGCCAACUCCUGGAGCCCAGGGGAAAGGGAUCGAGCCUACAACGAGCCUACAAUCCUACGUGCCCAAGGCGGGUUAGACAAUGGGGAGAAGGAGCGGUGAUUAAAAAAUGAACAAGGUCCUGCCAAGAGGAGUUCACAGUCUAGCGCGCAAGGCGGACCAGACUGGCUGAGAGAGAGGAAGGGAAAAGGAGAGAUAAAAACAUCGAUGAGAAACAUCACAUCAAUCGGCUGCUUUUGCACGCCCCCUACCGAGGAUCUAGCUGGCAACCCAGGCCUCGGGUCUGUGGGCAGAUGGCCUGUGGGCUCCGUCCACUUCAGCCUGUUCUUCCCUGGCAAAGGGAAAACAAUUUCCAAGACACAUGCCUCAUUGUGCCUGCUCAAUGACACUGCUGCUCUUCUAACCUACGAACCAAAGUUAGCUGUGAUGACCUGGAUUGACCCAAGAUGCUCCAGUGUUCUUCGUGCCUCCAACAGCUCUCUUCCAACACACCC
Long non-coding RNA from Eptesicus fuscus (big brown bat), 533 nucleotides. RefSeq lists it as uncharacterized. The record is from RefSeq and is a predicted model, not a curated record. Lineage: Eukaryota; Metazoa; Chordata; Mammalia; Chiroptera; Vespertilionidae. The transcript is spliced from 4 exons.